UAUUGAAGGUGUGUCCUUAUUGGAGUAC
Molecule: non-coding RNA, 28 nt
Filed under: Mus musculus (house mouse)
Lineage: Eukaryota; Metazoa; Chordata; Mammalia; Rodentia; Muridae
Source: RNAcentral